CGGGGGAUUGGAUUUAUUCAGAUUUCCAAUUCCUCCUUUCUUUCUAACAUCCUCUCCCUAUUGUCCAAUUAGUCUCUUCCUUCUCUUGUUAGGAUAAGUCCAAAAAUAGAAAAGACAAGUCUGAUUUUAGGACAAGAGUCUAAGAAGAGAAUUAAGGAAGACAAGGAGAGAAGAAAGGUAGGGAUAAGAAGGCUAGGAG
This 199-nucleotide long non-coding RNA is filed under the name Elaeis guineensis (African oil palm). Its description in RNAcentral is "long non-coding RNA (EGUI_LNC073493)". The record is from RNAcentral. Lineage: Eukaryota; Viridiplantae; Streptophyta; Magnoliopsida; Arecales; Arecaceae.